Molecule: long non-coding RNA, 1106 nt
Filed under: Sinocyclocheilus anshuiensis
Lineage: Eukaryota; Metazoa; Chordata; Actinopteri; Cypriniformes; Cyprinidae
Description: lncRNA (ENSSANG00000009009.1)
Source: RNAcentral
UCUCUGCUUGAGUUUGUGUCUUCAUGUUUCUGUGUGUUUGGCUUCGGUCCUGCUGGAGAGCGUGAAGCAGACCCACCCGCUCUCUCUCACACACACACACACACACACACGGCCCUCCUCCUCCAGAUACAGGACACUUUUGUUCUGUGUUUUCAUCAGGAGUCCAGUGAAUCGAGAGCGAGAGACAGUGUGACAGAAGAGACGCUUCCACAGACGCUUCAGAGCUCAAGUCAAAGGUCUGUCAUGGGCCGCUGGUCGACACGUCUGGCUCUUCUGAUGCUCCUCAUUGGUCAGAUUUCUGCAGAGACGAGCAGCAGCUCAAACGCCUGUCAGGAUCAGAACGCUCUUCAUGACCGGAUGGAUGCUGUAGAGAAGCGGGUGGAGGACACUCUUCAGAAGCUGGAGGCUGAGCUGGCUCUUCUGCUGGACGCUGUUGAGGCCCCUGAGUGGAGCCCCCUGCUGGACAAACCCCUCAUCGACAUACUGGACGAGCCGCCGGCAACAGACUCAUGAGAACAUAAUGAUCAUCAGAGCAGAUGGUGUGAAUCGGAGCAGAUGGAAGGAGAACAUGUUUAUAUAGAAGCAGGAAACACAAACAUCUUGUUGCUUUGCUGACAUUUUCAACCUCACAUGAUACAGACACACACUUCAGUUUGACUAAUACAUCCACACACAAACACAAUUCCCAUACAGAAAAAAUCUUUUUUUUUCUUGUAUAUAUACACUCACACAUACACACGCUCACACACACUCACACAAACUCACACACACACUCAAUUACACUCACACAUACACACGCUCACACACACUCACACACACACACACACACACACACACACACGCUCACACACACACUCUCUCACACUCACUCACUCACACACACACACACUCACACUCGUUUGGAUUAGAAAUGGCUAUGCAAAUGGUACAAAAGCUUUGGCGUUUUUGCCUACAAGUUGUUCCUGCACACUUGAGAGAGAUUUUAAACAAGACGACGCUUCGUAAAACCUCUCAGUAUCGUAUCGUCUAUAUUUAAACUCGUUAAUGUCAGCACAUCCACAUAAAACUGUGGAAAAUACUGGGCUUUUCACUAUGUACAUGUUUAC